ACGAAGGCUUCGGCCUUAGUGGCGCACGGGUGCGUAACGCGUGGGAAUCUGCCCCUCGGUUCGGAAUAACAGCGAGAAAUUGCUGCUAAUACCGGAUAAUGACGUAAGUCCAAAGAUUUAUCGCCGAGGGAUGAGCCCGCGUAGGAUUAGCUAGUUGGUGUGGUAAAAGCGCACCAAGGCGACGAUCCUUAGCUGGUCUGAGAGGAUGAUCAGCCACACUGGGACUGAGACACGGCCCAGACUCCUACGGGAGGCAGCAGUGGGGAAUAUUGGACAAUGGGCGAAAGCCUGAUCCAGCAAUGCCGCGUGAGUGAUGAAGGCCUUAGGGUUGUAAAGCUCUUUUACCCGGGAUGAUAAUGACAGUACCGGGAGAAUAAGCUCCGGCUAACUCCGUGCCAGCAGCCGCGGUAAUACGGAGGGAGCUAGCGUUAUUCGGAAUUACUGGGCGUAAAGCGCACGUAGGCGGCUUUGUAAGUUAGAGGUGAAAGCCUGGAGCUCAACUCCAGAAUUGCCUUUAAGACUGCAUCGCUUGAAUCCAGGAGAGGUGAGUGGAAUUCCGAGUGUAGAGGUGAAAUUCGUAGAUAUUCGGAAGAACACCAGUGGCGAAGGCGGCUCACUGGACUGGUAUGACGCUGA
This 636-nucleotide ribosomal RNA is filed under the name Sphingomonas sp. RNAcentral describes it as "bacterial SSU rRNA". It matches the Rfam family "Bacterial small subunit ribosomal RNA", at positions 66 to 749 of the family's 1533-position model. The record is from RNAcentral. Lineage: Bacteria; Pseudomonadati; Pseudomonadota; Alphaproteobacteria; Sphingomonadales; Sphingomonadaceae.